This 496-nucleotide ribosomal RNA is filed under the name uncultured bacterium. Its description in RNAcentral is "partial 16S ribosomal RNA". It matches the Rfam family "Bacterial small subunit ribosomal RNA", at positions 29 to 507 of the family's 1533-position model. The record is from RNAcentral.
AUGAACGCUGGCGGCGUGCCUAAUACCUGCAAGUCGAGCGAACAGACGAGGAGCUUGCUCCUCUGACGUUAGCGGCGGACGGGUGAGUAACACGUGGAUAACCUACCUAUAAGACUGGGAUAACUUCGGGAAACCGGAGCUAAUACCGGAUAAUAUAUUGAACCGCAUGGUUCAAUAGUGAAAGACGGUUUUGCUGUCACUUAUAGAUGGAUCCGCGCCGCAUUAGCUAGUUGGUAAGGUAACGGCUUACCAAGGCAACGAUGCGUAGCCGACCUGAGAGGGUGAUCGGCCACACUGGAACUGAGACACGGUCCAGACUCCUACGGGAGGCAGCAGUAGGGAAUCUUCCGCAAUGGGCGAAAGCCUGACGGAGCAACGCCGCGUGAGUGAUGAAGGUCUUCGGAUCGUAAAACUCUGUUAUUAGGGAAGAACAAAUGUGUAAGUAACUAUGCACGUCUUGACGGUACCUAGUCAGAAAGCCACGGCUAACUACGUG